GGCAAUUCCGACCUCGUUUCUUCCUCUCCUCCGCAUACUUGGUUAUUCUGACGCCCACACCGGCCCGGGCUUUCUCUAAUCGUAAACUAUGUUCCUGGAACGUGAACUUUAUUCUGUUUGCCUUUCAAGAUACAGAACUAUUUGGCUCUGUUUAUUUUUGUUCCAAGUGGGCAGGACCCUCUUGCCUGUUGUGACUAAUCCACUUGUCAGGGCUGGAAUCUCCUAACAGUUCCUCCAGGGAGGGGUGCCAAAGAAGUGACUGGGAUGGAGGCUGACUGGAAGACAGUGGAGUGGACAGAAUGACAGAAACUCACGGGAAACGACUCUGGUUGGAUGGCAGUCCCGUUUAUAUCUACCGAGACUCAGUUGUUUUCAACUAUUGCUCAGGCAUUCCUGGUUGCUCACCUUUUUCUAGGAAACUACUGGGGCUGAACCCCAU
Molecule: long non-coding RNA, 439 nt
Filed under: Mus pahari (shrew mouse)
Lineage: Eukaryota; Metazoa; Chordata; Mammalia; Rodentia; Muridae
Description: lncRNA (MGP_PahariEiJ_G0002890.1)
Source: RNAcentral